AUCCUUCACUGGCAUGGGAGACACCAUGAUCAAAAACAUGGAUAACCAUUGUACUCCAGAUGUUCUGACUCUGAGAUUUCCCCAAAUGUGGAAAAAUCAACUGAAUAACUGAAUAAUCUUUGGUAGAAGAGUACAACAUGCAUCUACCUCCC
RNAcentral lists this small nuclear RNA (152 nucleotides) under Mus pahari (shrew mouse). Its description in RNAcentral is "snRNA (MGP_PahariEiJ_G0033155.1)". The record is from RNAcentral. Lineage: Eukaryota; Metazoa; Chordata; Mammalia; Rodentia; Muridae.